GCUAUGCUUCUUUUCAGUGAGAAGCUCAUUUCAGCUAUGUUGGUUCUCCUUGAGGUUGUGCUCCUGAAUGCUGUUGUGGUACGCAGCACUGAAUGUGCACUUUUCUGCUGGAAACGAGCAGACAUGGAAGGGGACAAGGGGGAAGUCUGUCCGCUCAUGUCUUCAUUUGCCAGCCUCUGUAUGUCCAUACUUCACACCUCCAGGACUCGGGGACUUAUGUGCCCCUUUCCCAGUGAAGACACAGCAGCUCUGCUCUGUCUCCUCUACUGCGAAUUAGGAGCAUGUCUGCUCACCCUGCUGGCUUAUCUCUUCAUCGAGCUGAAAUGGAUGCUUAUGCUGCCAGAUAUCUACAUGAGGAACUACAUCACUUUUUUUCCUCUUAUUUGAAGAGAGAAGUGAAAUACAGUACACUGCUCAGUGCUCUAUCUGUUAGACAAUAGCAUAUGGGUUUCAUGAAGAGCGAUUGUAGAAAUUCAAAGGCUGUAUGCCAGAUAGUGCCUACCAAUCCCAACAGCUCCUUCUCUGUUAUUAAAAAAGAUUAAGGCAUUGGCCCAAGACUGGAAAUAAUGCUUAAAACUCAGGCAGCUCAGUGAUGCCUGGGUCCCUUUGAUUAUUUUCACUCCAGUGACAGUUACAUCAAUAUCCUUGUGCUGCAAAACCCUGGUUGUUAGAAGUCUGAGAAGAAUAGUAAAGGUACAAUGCAACUCAGCUCAACCUCUGUUAAAUAAACACUGAAAGAGUACAAAAGGAUGUUGAAAGAAAAGCCUAUUUUGAAGUCUGUUUGGGACUAGCAGUCAUUCAGGAUUAAAAAAAAAAACACUCAACCAUAUAUAAGAAUUCACUGCAUAACUUUCUUGUUCAANUUUUUCUAAGCAUACAAUGUAGUUAUGUAGUUGAAUACAACAUAGAGUAAAAGCAAAACUACUGCUCUCCAGUUCUGUUUGGAAUAAGUAAUAAGCAUAACAGUUCCAUUCAUGCCUCUGACAAUCUGGAUAAAAAGAGAACCUCAUACCUGCUCUUGUGGCCACUUCUGUCUGUCCUCUGGAGUUCUUGAUUUUGCUUUAAAACCUCUAGGCACAUCUCCACCGUGCUUAGAGGCAGAUGGGAUAUUCAGUGAUUUUGGCCUCCCUUCAUGCCUGUUAGCACUGUGAACAGCUUCUCCCUUUGAACAAGUCUCUUUAUAGUCAUGUGCCAUGUUUUCAGUCCCAGUGUGCUCUGGACUCAUCUCUGUUGUACUAUUUAUGCUGCUCAUGCUCAUACUCAUUUUGAUUUCUGCUACAAUCUGGUCAAUGUCCUCUUCCUGCUCUUCUAGCUCUGCAUCCUCUUUUCUAGAAUGAUAUGGCGAUAUCCCCUGUGAAUUUCCAUUAGCCUCUGCUGGGUAAUAGUCCGGGUAGCCACCUUCACUUUGACAAUAUUGUAUAUUCUCAUCUUGGUCUUGUAUCUCCAAAGAUGAUGCUUCAUCCUCUAAAACCUGAAUGCCGUUAUCUUGACCUUCCUGCCACUCCUGCCUGUCUGUCACCUCAUUUUCAUCCUGGUUCUGAAUUUGACCUUCGGACCACUCUUCUACAGCUUCCUGACAUUCAUCUGUUUCAACAUGGUGUUCCUCAUUGGCAGCAUAUUCUUCUCCAUUGCAGUCCAUUCCUUCCAGGUAACUGUCAUCCUCUGGACAGUAUCUAAUGUAGUAUGUGAUCCCUUCCUCUUCUUCUGGCAAGCCUUCAUCAUAGUCCUCCUCCUCAGAGGUGUUAUUCACAUAGUCAGAGCUGGAGUCACCGUCUCCACUAUGAUCGUUGCACUCAUGUUCCAAGGGUGUAGGACUGCCUUGUCUGAUGGUUGCUAGUUCUGCCUCCUUUGCUGGAUAAUCUUCAAUAGGAAGAUCACUUUCCUCAUUUUCAGGCUCCCUGUUGUGAGAUGAAGUUGGGCAAGCUCUUGCUCUGUGAUCCAGCAUGCUGGCUGUAGUGCUCUGAUGUUUCCUGUUUGCCAUAGCCAACUCCUUAUACGACAGUCAUUUCUAAGCAAUUACUGUAGGGAAGAUGGAAAAACACAUUCAAGAAAGGUCAUCAUCAGAGAUCAGUGAUGCUAAUAAGAGACAGCAAGUGAUGGAUUAAAAUGGUAGAAAGAAUGUGUUUAUAGGUAUUUAAAUUAGAUUCACAGACACCUAAC
This is a long non-coding RNA of Pavo cristatus (Indian peafowl), 2160 nucleotides long. The record is from Ensembl. Lineage: Eukaryota; Metazoa; Chordata; Aves; Galliformes; Phasianidae.